Molecule: ribosomal RNA, 380 nt
Filed under: uncultured eukaryote
Lineage: Eukaryota
Description: partial 18S ribosomal RNA
Rfam family: Eukaryotic small subunit ribosomal RNA
Source: RNAcentral
CAGUAGCGUAUAUUAAAGUUGUUGCAGUUAAAAAGCUCGUAGUUGGAUUUGUGGCUGUCACGGGCGGCCUAUCACUUAGUGUUAGUGCUUGCCUGUGUCGCCAUCCUUGGGUGGAGCCCGUGUGGCAUUAGGUUGUCGUGCGGGGGAUGCCCAUCGUUUACUGUGAGAAAAUUAGAGUGUUCAAAGCAGGCUUAUGCCAUUGAAUAUGUUAGCAUGGAAUAAUAAGAUAGGACCUCGGUACUAUUUUGUUGGUUUGCGCACCGAGGUAAUGAUUAAUAGGGACAGUUGGGGGUAUUCGUAUUUCAUUGUCAGAGGUGAAAUUCUUGGAUUUCUGAAAGACGAACUACUGCGAAAGCAUUUACCAAGGAUGUUUUCAUUAA